This 492-nucleotide ribosomal RNA is filed under the name uncultured bacterium. Its description in RNAcentral is "partial 16S ribosomal RNA". It matches the Rfam family "Bacterial small subunit ribosomal RNA", at positions 29 to 507 of the family's 1533-position model. The record is from RNAcentral.
AGUGAACGCUGGCGGUAGGCCUAACACAUGCAAGUCGAACGGCAGCACAGUAAGAGCUUGCUCUUACGGGCGGCGAGUCGCGGACGGGUGAGGAAUAUAUCGGACUCCACUUUUUCGUGGGGGAUCACGUAGGGACACUAACGCUAAUACCGCACACGACCUACGGGUGAAAGCAGGGGAUCUUCGGACCUUGCGCGAUUGUAUGAGCCGAUGUCGGAUUAGCUAGUGGGCGGGGUAAAGGCCCACCAAGGCGACGAUCCGUAGCUGGUCUGAGAGGAUGAUCAGCCACACUGGAACUGAGACACGGUCCAGACUCCUACGAGAGGCAGCAGUGGGGAAUAUUGGACAAUGGGCGCAAGCCUGAUCCAGCCAUGCCGCGUGGAUGAAGAAGGCCUUCGGGUUGUAAAGCCCUUUUGUAGGGAAAGAAACGCAGCAGGUUAAUACCCCGCUGUUCUGACGGUACCCCAAGAAUAAGCUCCGGCUAACUUCGUG